UACAGAGGUCCCAAGCGUUGUUCGGAUUUACUGGGCGUAAAGGGUGCGCAGGCGGUCGGAUAAGUCGGGUGUGAAAUCCCAAAGCUUAACUUUGGAACUGCGCCCGAAACUAUCUGGCUUGAGGAUUGGAGAGGAGACUGGAAUUUCCGGUGUAGCGGUGAAAUGCGUAGAUAUCGGAAGGAACACCAACGGCGAAGGCAGGUCUCUGGACAGUUCCUGACGCUCAUGCACGAAAGCCAGGGGAGCAAACGGG
This 253-nucleotide ribosomal RNA is filed under the name uncultured bacterium. RNAcentral's name for it is "partial 16S ribosomal RNA". It matches the Rfam family "Bacterial small subunit ribosomal RNA", at positions 524 to 776 of the family's 1533-position model. The record is from RNAcentral.